GUCAACUCAAUGUACUCAAGAAAGCAAACACAAAUAGACUUGGCAAGCCUCUAAUGUCAACACUCAAAGACAUAUGCAUGUUCAAAUCAAAAGGUCUUUUAUGGAUGUAAUGGGGCCAAGGACAAGGGAGGAUAAAUAUGGGUGAGAAGCUACAAACCAAAGGAAACAGAGGAGCAAUGGGGAACAAGUGUAAACACAGUAUACUCACACCCAAAACCUCUAAUUCCAUCCUCUUCCUGACUCCUUUAUUCACAAUUUUUUUUUAAUUCUUUCUCAUUUUUCUGUAUUUAGUUUUCCUUUUUUUUUUUUCAUCUUGUCUCUUUUCUUUUCUCUCUUUUCAGAACACAACUCUAAGAGACAAGAUACACAACAUAUU
RNAcentral lists this long non-coding RNA (376 nucleotides) under Vigna radiata. RNAcentral describes it as "long non-coding RNA (VRAD_LNC014312)". Lineage: Eukaryota; Viridiplantae; Streptophyta; Magnoliopsida; Fabales; Fabaceae. The record is from RNAcentral.